UAAUUAGCCAUAUAAAGGCUACAGCCUGUCAU
RNAcentral lists this non-coding RNA (32 nucleotides) under Rattus norvegicus (Norway rat). Lineage: Eukaryota; Metazoa; Chordata; Mammalia; Rodentia; Muridae. The record is from RNAcentral.